UCACAGAUUCUCGUACGAACACCAAAGUUAAGCAAUGUCGAGCCUGGUCAGUACCUAGAUGGUUGAACGCUUGGGAAUACCACGUGCUG
This is a non-coding RNA of Acanthosepion pharaonis, 89 nucleotides long. Lineage: Eukaryota; Metazoa; Mollusca; Cephalopoda; Sepiida; Sepiidae. The record is from the annotation of a GenBank genome assembly.